GUGCAAAUGAUGAUAAAGUAACAGUAUGAAAAAUAAUGAUACUGUAAACGCUUUCUGAUGCA
This is a non-coding RNA of Xenopus laevis (African clawed frog), 62 nucleotides long. Lineage: Eukaryota; Metazoa; Chordata; Amphibia; Anura; Pipidae. The record is from Rfam.